RNAcentral lists this ribosomal RNA (460 nucleotides) under uncultured bacterium. RNAcentral describes it as "partial 16S ribosomal RNA". It matches the Rfam family "Bacterial small subunit ribosomal RNA", at positions 338 to 795 of the family's 1533-position model. The record is from RNAcentral.
CCUACGGGUGGCAGCAGUGAGGAAUAUUGGUCAAUGGACGGAAGUCUGAACCAGCCAUGCCGCGUGCAGGAAGACGGCUCUAUGAGUUGUAAACUGCUUUUGUACAGGGGUAAACCUUAAUACGUGUAUUCUGCUGAAUGUACUUUACGAAUAAGGAUCGGCUAACUCCGUGCCAGCAGCCGCGGUAAUACGGAGGAUCCAAGCGUUAUCCGGAUUUAUUGGGUUUAAAGGGAGCGUAGGCGGGUUGAUAAGUUAGAGGUGAAAUGUCCGGGCUUAACUCGGGAACUGCCUUUAAUACUGGUGAGCUAGAGAGCAGAUGCGGUAGGCGGAAUGUAUGGUGUAGCGGUGAAAUGCUUAGAGAUCAUACAGAACACCGAUUGCGAAGGCAGCUUACUAAUCUAUAUCUGACGUUGAGGCACGAAAGCGUGGGGAGCAAACAGGAUUAGAUACCCUUGUAGUC